AGAGUUUGAUCAUGGCUCAGAACGAACGCUGGCGGCAUGCCUAACACAUGCAAGUCGAACGCCAUGGUUUCGGCCAUGGAGUGGCGCACGGGUGAGUAACGCGUGGGAACCUGCCCAGCAGUAUGGGACAACCGCGGGAAACUGCGGCUAAUACCGUAUACGCCCCUGCAAGGGGGGAAAGAUUGAUCGCUGUUGGAGGGGCCCGCGUCGGAUUAGGUAGUUGGUGGGGUAAUGGCCUACCAAGCCUGCGAUCCGUAGCUGGUCUGAGAGGAUGAUCAGCCACACUGGGACUGAGACACGGCCCAGACUCCUACGGGAGGCAGCAGUGGGGAAUAUUGGACAAUGGGCGCAAGCCUGAUCCAGCAAUGCCGCGUGAGUGAUGAAGGCCUUAGGGUUGUAAAGCUCUUUCACACGCGACGAUGAUGACGGUAGCGUGAGAAGAAGCCCCGGCUAACUCCGUGCCAGCAGCCGCGGUA
This 476-nucleotide ribosomal RNA is filed under the name uncultured Pseudomonadota bacterium. Its description in RNAcentral is "bacterial SSU rRNA". It matches the Rfam family "Bacterial small subunit ribosomal RNA", at positions 8 to 522 of the family's 1533-position model. The record is from RNAcentral. Lineage: Bacteria; Pseudomonadati; Pseudomonadota.